RNAcentral lists this ribosomal RNA (385 nucleotides) under uncultured bacterium. RNAcentral's name for it is "bacterial SSU rRNA". It matches the Rfam family "Bacterial small subunit ribosomal RNA", at positions 29 to 414 of the family's 1533-position model. The record is from RNAcentral.
AUUGAACGCUGGCGGCGUGCCUAACACAUGCAAGUCGAGCGGUAACAGGUGUAGCAAUACAUGCUGACGAGCGGCGAACGGGUGAGUAAUGCUUCGGAAUCUACCCAAUGGUGGGGAAUAACCAGCCGAAAGGUUGGCUAAUACCGCAUACGUCCCACGGGAGAAAGCAGGGGAUCGCAAGACCUUGCGCCAAUGGAUGAGCCGAAGUCGGAUUAGCUAGUUGGAGGGUAACGGCCUACCAAGGCGACGAUCCGUAGCUGGUCUGAGAGGACGACCAGCCACACUGGGACUGAGACACGGCCCAGACUCCUACGGGAGGCAGCAGUGGGGAAUAUUGGACAAUGGGGGAAACCCUGAUCCAGCGACGCCGCGUGUGUGAAGAAGG